GACGAACGCUGGCGGCGUGCUUAACACAUGCAAGUCGAACGAAAGGCCCUGCUUUUGUGGGGUGCUCGCGUGGCGAACGGGUGAGUAACACGUGAGUAACCUGCCCUUGACUUUGGGAUAACUUCAGGAAACUGGGGCUAAUACCGGAUAGGAGCUCCUGCUGCAUGGUGGGGGUUGGAAAGUUUCGGCGGUUGGGGAUGGACUCGCGGCUUAUCAGCUUGUUGGUGGGGUAGUGGCUUACCAAGGCUUUGACGGGUAGCCGGCCUGAGAGGGUGACCGGCCACAUUGGGACUGAGAUACGGCCCAGACUCCUACGGGAGGCAGCAGUGGGGAAUAUUGCACAAUGGGCGGAAGCCUGAUGCAGCAACGCCGCGUGCGGGAUGACGGCCUUCGGGUUGUAAACCGCUUUCGCCUGUGACGAAGCGUGAGUGACGGUAAUGGGUAAAGAAGCACCGGCUAACUACGUG
Molecule: ribosomal RNA, 467 nt
Filed under: uncultured bacterium
Lineage: Bacteria
Description: partial 16S ribosomal RNA
Rfam family: Bacterial small subunit ribosomal RNA
Source: RNAcentral